This 485-nucleotide ribosomal RNA is filed under the name Debaryomyces macquariensis. RNAcentral's name for it is "LSU rRNA". It matches the Rfam family "Eukaryotic large subunit ribosomal RNA", at positions 74 to 564 of the family's 3401-position model. Lineage: Eukaryota; Fungi; Ascomycota; Pichiomycetes; Serinales; Debaryomycetaceae. The record is from RNAcentral.
AUUGCCUUAGUAACGGCGAGUGAAGCGGCAAAAGCUCAAAUUUGAAAUCUGGCACCUUCGGUGUCCGAGUUGUAAUUUGAAGAAGGUAACUUUGGAGUUGGCUCUUGUCUAUGUUCCUUGGAACAGGACGUCACAGAGGGUGAGAAUCCCGUGCGAUGAGAUGCCCAAUUCUAUGUAAAGUGCUUUCGAAGAGUCGAGUUGUUUGGGAAUGCAGCUCUAAGUGGGUGGUAAAUUCCAUCUAAAGCUAAAUAUUGGCGAGAGACCGAUAGCGAACAAGUACAGUGAUGGAAAGAUGAAAAGAACUUUGAAAAGAGAGUGAAAAAGUACGUGAAAUUGUUGAAAGGGAAGGGCUUGAGAUCAGACUUGGUAUUUUGCGAUCCUUUCCUUCUUGGUUGGGUUCCUCGCAGCUUACUGGGCCAGCAUCGGUUUGGAUGGUAGGAUAAUGACUAAGGAAUGUGGCUCUACUUCGGUGGAGUGUUAUAGCC